GACGAACGCUGGCGGCGUGCCUAAUACAUGCAAGUCGAGCGCUGAAGGUUGGUUCUUGUACCGACUGGAUGAGCAGCGGACGGGUGAGUAACGCGUGGGUGAUCGGCCUUUGAGCGGGGGACCACAUUUGGGAACGAAUUCUAAUACCGCAUAAAAACUUUAAACACAAGUUUUAUGUUUGAUAGAUGCAAUUGCAUCACUCAAAGAUGAUCCCGCGUUGUAUUAGCUAGUUGGUGAGGUAAAGGCUCACCAAGGCGAUGAUACAUAGCCGACCUGAGAGGGUGAUCGGCCACAUUGGGACUGAGACACGGCCCAAACUCCUACGGGAGGCAGCAGUAGGGAAUCUUCGGCAAUGGACGAAAGUCUGACCGCGCAACGCCGCGUGAGUGAAGAAGGUUUUCGGAUCGUAAAACUCUGUUGGUAGGGAAGAACGUUGAUGAGAGUGGAAAGCUCAUCAAGUGACGGUAACUACACAGAAAGAGACGGCUAACUACGUG
This 497-nucleotide ribosomal RNA is filed under the name uncultured bacterium. RNAcentral's name for it is "partial 16S ribosomal RNA". It matches the Rfam family "Bacterial small subunit ribosomal RNA", at positions 28 to 507 of the family's 1533-position model. The record is from RNAcentral.